CACGUAGGGUGCGAGCGUUGUCCGGAAUCAUUGGGCGUAAAGCGCACGUAGGCGGUCUGUUAUGUCGGAUGUGAAAGCCCUCGGCUCAACUGAGGAAGUGCAUCCGAAACUGGCAGGCUAGAGUACUAAAGAGGGUCGCGGAAUUCCCGGUGUAGAGGUGAAAUUCGUAGAUAUCGGGAGGAACACCGGUGGCGAAGGCGGCGACCUGGGUAGAUACUGACGCUGAGGUGCGAAAGCGUGGGGAGCAAACAGG
RNAcentral lists this ribosomal RNA (253 nucleotides) under uncultured bacterium. RNAcentral's name for it is "partial 16S ribosomal RNA". It matches the Rfam family "Bacterial small subunit ribosomal RNA", at positions 524 to 776 of the family's 1533-position model. The record is from RNAcentral.